GCCCUCUCAGGGUCACAUCUGGAGAGUUCCCAGUACUAUCCCAGUCUCGACUAUGGGAGGGAGAGUCAAGCGGAGGCCUACCUAUUCCAUUCCGAGCUUGGACAGUGGCUAGUGAAUGGAAGGCAAUCUGCUACAAGU
This is a small nucleolar RNA of Tachyglossus aculeatus (Australian echidna), 138 nucleotides long. NCBI's taxonomy places the organism in Eukaryota, Metazoa, Chordata, Mammalia, Monotremata, Tachyglossidae. The record is from RefSeq and is a predicted model, not a curated record.